Molecule: long non-coding RNA, 377 nt
Filed under: Androctonus crassicauda
Lineage: Eukaryota; Metazoa; Arthropoda; Arachnida; Scorpiones; Buthidae
Source: RNAcentral
CCUUGGCUCAGCACGCCCGAAUUCAAAACCAAAACCAAGCUUCAGAUGAAUACCAAACUAUCGUAGCAGCGGGUAUUAAGAGAAUGACUUUUUCGAUCUUGUCAUCAACCUUGAUAUUCUUUGUGUGUGCUAUUUUUGAGCCGAUUCAUUGAACAUUAAAUGGUGACAAAAAUGAAAAAAAUAACAAAUUAUUUUACUGUUAAAGGUUAUAAUAAUGGCAAUGGUGAUCAGCCUAGCAAAUCAAAACGUGUGAAACUAACUCAGCAGGUUCUAUCCGAAAAAAAGUCAAUGAACAGCAUAUGUCAAGCAAGGGAAGUGUUGAUGUUAAACAGAGAACAGUCACUCAAAAAUGUUCUGAGUGGAAAAAAGUUAUUCUU